Molecule: long non-coding RNA, 4646 nt
Organism: Gallus gallus (chicken)
Lineage: Eukaryota; Metazoa; Chordata; Aves; Galliformes; Phasianidae
Source: Ensembl
GUUCAGAACACGUAAACAGCGCAUUUAGAAAAAGUUACACUUUUCUACACUUUUCUGCACAAAUCUGAAUGUGAACUUUGGUUAUGAAAAACAAACAAAACCUCUUUGCUCCUAGCUUCAAAAACACACACAGCUUCUGGUGCUGCGAGUGUGUUGCAGAAGUCAGUGGGUCUCAUGUGUGUGGGUUAGUCUAGUGGGAAUAAUAGGUUUGACUUAGUGAUCCCACUCUUGCUUAGGGAAAACAGGAGGUCAGUGGAUGGUCAAAAUCCAGUUUCUUUGCGAACACUGAACUCGGUCUAAACACCUAUGAUAUCUUGCAACAGAAGAGCGAUAUUAGGUUGGCAAACACAAACAUCUUUAUUGACUAUAUUAGGGAAUACACAGAAUGCCCGGGAGAAAGAAAGACAGUGCUGAACUUCCACAGCUUGUCAGGCACAGUUCAGUUCUCAUCACCAUCUCACACCACUAUUUCCACUCCUCCCCCGUUUGAUCUAGUUCAAAUAUCCAGCCGGUGUUUGUGCACUGAGAAGUUACUGAGAACCCUUAAAAAGCCUAACUAGUCACAACUUGAGAAGGAUAUUCCCAGCUAUCUGAGAAAAACAUAAUGCAAAGAACAACAGAUUAUUUGGAUUAAAAAGAAAAAAAAAAAGAAAAAGAGCAGAAGAUUUGAAAACAAGGAGCAUUAUAAGCAUCAGUUCCUCAUUGUCCUGAGGAAAGGGGCCCUGUGGUUGUAGGCAGGAAAUAGCUGCAGUCUUCUUAGGGCUUUGCUUUCCAAGAUAACACUUGGCAGUGUUGAAGAAGAAUUCCUUUCUCAUUAAAUACCAGAUCUGAACUUCAUCCCUUACCUGACUGCAUGCUUUUGCAUGUUCACGUUUCAAAUGCUCAAACCUACUUGACAACAGCAAACCACGAUAGGCUUCUCACAUUCAGAUUUACUGCAGAGCUUCCUUCCCUUCCUGAGUGCUGGGUGAACUGGAGCAAGAAGGGCGGCUUGCCCUCUUUCAGAGCAAGUAGAGGAACUGUGCUAUCUUGUCAGGAAGUUCCUGCUGCGCAUAUACAAUAGAAAAGUUACACUCUGAAGCACGGAACAGGUGUAGGCUUCAGCCCAACUUCACGACUGGAAAGGAUCAAGAAUGACUGCUAUCUAAAACACUUUACCAUCAGUCACUUUACCACCUCACUGCUGACCAGAGUGGGCAAAAAGUACAGACAAAAUGGAGCUGUUCUGUUGACUGGAAACACUGCUUGCAGCUGUCUGGAGGGAAAGCACACAAGAAGAACAGCCUAUGAUAGGUUUUGCCUCCAUUGACCAGAAGUGCGGUUAUCUGAGCAAGUGUUGGAUACUCCUAUCUGGGAAUCAUUAACCACAUUUAAGGAUGGGAACUCCAGUUCUGUGUUAUGAGAAUGCAGCUGAACUGCUGGCCUUAACCUGCGGGAACAACCCACCCUCCUAACUUCUCAGCUGAAAUACAGAACAUAUGCAUGCAUGUGCCAAGCUGCCACCAUUACCAGUCACAUACUGGUCACAUACCAGGCACAUACAUACCUGCUACUUCUCAGUGACUCCAAGCUUUACAUCAAGCUGUGAACACAGUGAGAAAAGAAAAGGCAAAGCACUUGGCUGACCUAAAACAGAUGUCUGUGUUCACACCGAACCUGAAGCUUUUUAACAGAGCAGGAGCUCCACGCAACACGAAGACCUCUUAUAUUUGGAAAGGAGUGCAUGGAUGAGGCCUUGACCUUGUGUUCAAAUGCAGCCAGAACUACUGUCUGUGCAAUUCUCCUGAAAAGGCAUGCAGAAGAAAGGGAAAGGCAUAAUUGGGUGAGGGAUGGAAAACAGGACCAGGUGAAGGUCCAGUAGCGGUUUUCUGCCUAGUCAUCUUCUUUACCCUUUUGAUAUAUAGCCUGCAGCAAUUAUGUCGCUAGGAGAACCAAUAAACCUGACUGCCCCUCCCAAUCAUGGCCUUAAACUAAUGUCAAGAGCCUGACCCAGCAACUUCUGCCUGAAUUUAAUGCCGCUCUGUAGUUGUGUUGUUUCAUGUCAAGGUAGUGCUGCACCAAGACAAACAAUGGGACACCACUCACAGGUCUGGUUCCAUGGCUCUAGGCUUAAGGAACCAACUCCUGUAAAACCCAAGGGAGGCCUUCCUUGCUUUUUUAUGAAGCAGACCACACACAGCUUAUCAGACUAACCCCAUACAGCAGACAAAGUGUGCACUGUAGCAAUUAACUAACAAUGUCAGUAGAGACUAGUCACAAACAGAGUAUAGAAUCAUAGAAUGGCCUGGGUUGAAAAGGACCACAAUGAUCACCUAGUUUCAACCCCCCUGCUAUGUGCAGGGUCGCCAACCAGCAGACCAGGCUGCCCAGAGCCACAUCCAGCCUGGCCUUGAAUGCCUCCAGGGAUGGGACAUCCACAACCUCCUUGGGCAACCUGUUCCAGUGUGUCACCACCCUCUGAGUGAAAAAGUUCCUCCUAAUAUCUAACCUAAACCUUCCCUAUCUCAGUUUAAGACCAUUGCCCCUUGUCCUAUCACUAUCCAUCCUCAUAAACAGCCAUUCCCACUCCUGUUUAUGUGCUCCCUUCAAGUACUGGAAGGCCACAAUGAGGUCUCCCCGGAGCCUUCUCUUCUCCAAGCGAAAGAAGCGCAGUUCCCUCAACCUUUCCUCACAGGAGAGGUGCUCCAGAGUAGGGACCACUAUUGAGUGGGAUCCCCUCUCAGCUGGACUGAGAUCCCCACACCGCAGGCACUGAUUUCUGUAUCAACCAUUGAACAUCAGGUCGCAUUACUCUCCCUAACAUUAUCUUGAAACCUCCCUUCUUUCCAGGGGAUAUUGGUUAUGGCCCUCUCUCAGAGAAUUCAGUCUAAUACUGUGCCUUGCAGGAAUCAGCAGACUCCAUUACCUGGCAGCUUGUGGAGUGCAUUGUGUACUUCAGGAGUUUCCAUGUGUUACCUAAUGGUUUUGUGGGGAGCCGGGGGUGCAUAUCAUUUGUUGUAUACUUUGCCAAGACUGUUUGUUUGUUAGCGUACAUUUGGAAUUCUUAUCUGCUGAGCAUUUCCUAACUGAGACCAUAGUUAUUUAAGGACAGUGUAUUAAAUAGAUAUAUAGUCAACCACCUAAGCUGCAGUCAGUGAAACGUGUUGACUGAACUCUAUUCCCUGUCUUGCACUACUACUAUCCCUAGAACGCAGCUUUUACAAUAUGUUUUUAUUCUUUCUCUCUUCUCUAUCUCCUCUGUUUAGUUAAACGAUAACCCAUUGCUAUUUAACAUCAUCAAAAUACCAUGACUCCUCAUGCUGGGAGCUGCUAUUCCACCAUGGUAAUUACCCAUCUCCUGGCAUUCUGCUUUCUGCCAUUACUCUGUGCCAACACCAAGACAUUCAGUCAGGCAAUCUGAGACCAAAAUUUGGAAUGGUUGGAUGACAGCUUUCUUGAUUAAACUACAACCCAGAAAUAAACUUCAUGAAUAUGCUGUAACAUGGAGCUGCACGGCCUACUUCUCCCUGCCCCAGCAAUAGCAACGUCAGAGACGUAAUUAGUUAAAAAUACAUUCAAUCUAUUUAUUAGAGGCGGAAAUCAGAUAUUUUAACAGUGCAGCAAAACCCUUUUAAGUCAAGCACUCACUUUCUCUGAGGGAACGCAUUUUUUUUCCUCCGAAUAACCACAUCAAAGUGGGCUGUGAGUGCAGUAUUUCCAAUUACUGCUAUCUAAUUGACCAGAUUUCCAGAAGCAGCACAGCACAGCUCUGGCAUUGUGCUCAGGCAUAAAAAUGAAGCCUGAAUACUUCCACCACUUUUUUAUUAUUAUUACUAUUCUUUUUACUUGCAUAUGGAAUGUUCUUAUGUGGGAUGCCUUUGAGUUCAGAAACAUCUAAGAUGUAAGAAACGCAGGAGACCAAGGGCACCUGAAAAUUAAACAAAAAGUAUUACGUUAUCAAACAUUGAAGCUAACCUGAAUGUUUGUUUCUCUGGAAUGCUGCCCAUUUACGUGCACCAAUACACAUCUUCUCCAGCUCUGUACUACAGAAUAUGGGCCUGGGAGGGGCACUGCCUCUACCCAUACCACUGCAACAGGGUUCCCCCCACUGACACCUAUCACAGAAUCACCAAGGUUGGAAAAGACCUCCAAGAUCAUCCAGUCCAACCAUUCACCUGCCACCAAUGUUUCCCCAGUAACCCACAUCCCUUAGCACAAUAUCUGAACGUUUCUUCAACACAUCCAGUGAUGGUGACUCCACCACAUAUCCCUGGGCAGCCCAUUCCAGCUCCUGACCACUCUUAGGGAGUAGAAAUUUUUCCUAAUAUCCAACCUGAGUCUCCCAUGGCGCAAACUUACUGAAGGUGCACUCAAUGCCCUCAUCCAGGUCAUCAAUAAAGAUACAGAACAGGACAGGCCCCAGUCCUGACCCCUGGGGAACACAACCUGUACCCAGUCGCCAGCUGGAUUUAACUCCAUUCACCAGCACUCUCUGGGCCCGGCCCUCCAGCCAGUUCUUUACCCAGUCAAGAGUGUAUCUGUCCAAGCCACGGGCUGUCAGCUUCUGCAGGAGAAUACUGUAGGAGACAGUGUCAAAGGCUUUGCUGAAAUCUAGGUAGAUCACAUCAACAGCCUUUCCCUCAUCCAGCAGAUGGGUCACUAGAUCA